This 1864-nucleotide long non-coding RNA is filed under the name Brassica rapa (field mustard). Its description in RNAcentral is "long non-coding RNA (BRAP_LNC005483)". The record is from RNAcentral. Lineage: Eukaryota; Viridiplantae; Streptophyta; Magnoliopsida; Brassicales; Brassicaceae.
AAACACACAAGUUGCACUAAAAUCCAACUCUAUCCCAAAAAAAUCCAAAAUCUAAUCAAGUAAAACAAUUUAGACUUUGCUUUGGAGUCUUUUCUAGAGCACCGAGCACAUACGUUUUUAUACAAGUCAAUAUGAAAACGUAACCGGAACGAUAAAGCCCCCAACUAAUAUUCGAUCUCAUGCUGGCAUGCUGCCGUCUUAUAAAAGAAACAGUGGCGUGCAUCUAACUGAUGCCUGAUGGAUAUGAAUUUGGACCAAAUCUAUCUCCAGCUCAUUCUGGUAGUUUUGACCUUAUAACUUAUGGCUAUAAAUGGUACAUUGUUUUCCCGCUCAUUCAGGAGAGACACGUGUGUGUAAAUCUGUGGUGAACAUGUCGUUGUUCUUACAAUACGAAAUUGCUUCAGACAGGGCCCACAUGAGUUUCUAGCACCUCUCCGGCUUUCCCUUUUCUCUGUUUAAAGAAACAAUUUAGAAAAAUUCCGACUUUCCUAGAAUAUUCAUAUAUCCCAGAAUUUUUUGUAAUUUAAAAUAGAAUUGACUAUAAUUUCUUAAUUGUAUGAGAAAUUAUUUUGCACCAUAUAUUAUAAGAUAAAAUCUGCUAUGUAGACUGUUACGAUAACUACCACAUAAAUCUAUGUGAUAUCAAAUUUACUUAAUUGUAUAUUAUAAGUAUAUUUGUAGAGGUUCAUGUCUUUAAAAUUAAUGUUUCUUUUAUGCAUUGCUUGAUAAGAAAAUAAAUGUAUUUGGGAACAUAUCAUAGUUGUCACAUACUAUAUAUAGCGUAUUCUUGAACAGAAAAAAAAAGAAACAAAAACAAAAAUAUAUAUUCAUUGAGGACCUCGGUGAUCCUCUUCUUAACAAAGUACCACCAACAUUCAUAAAAAAAAAAGGUAACCACCAACACAAUUAUUUUUGGACGGCUUAAAAUUAGGGGUGGGCAUUUUACCCGAAAUCCGAAGUGGUACCCGAACCCGAUUCGAAAAACCCGAACCGAAAUCCGAACCGAAGUAGCAAAAUAUCCGAACGGGUAUUGAAUUAGGAGAGAUUGGAUAUCCGAACCCGAACGGGUAAUAUCCGAACCCGAAUGGAUAUCCGAAAAUAACCGAACAUAUGAUAAUUAACCUUAUAUUUAUAGUUUACAUCUUUCAUUUUAUAUAAAAUAUUUAUAUUGAUACUACACAUACUUUAAAUUCAUAUGAUAUACAUACAAUUACGAAGAAGAUGAUUUGCUAUUCGCUUAAAAUGCAUGUCAAACUUUUUAUUUCAGCAAUUAACAAAAAAUUACAUCCAAAAUUUAAAAACAAUAACCAAAUUAAUGUCUUUUUAGUUUGAAAAUGUUAUGUCCAAAUAUAUUAACCAUGCAAUCUAUUAAAAAUAAAAAAAUAGUUAAGUGAAAAGUUAUAUAUUUAAAUACAAGAAAUUUGAGAAAUGAAAAUUUUCAUUUUUUUUUCUUCAAAAUCUAAAUAUCCGAACCCGAUCCGAAAUAACCGAAACCGAACUUAAAAUACCCGAACCCGACCCGAAGUACAGAAAUAUCCGAACGGGUUCUACACCUCUAUACCGAAAUACCCGAAAAUCCGAAAUACCCGAUCCGAACCCGAACGGGUACCCGAACGCCCACCCCUACUUAAAAUCCACAAACCUUAUAUCAAUAAUAGUGUAGAAAAAGGCAAAUACUAUACUGUGGUAGGUGGUUCGAACUUCUCAUCAAAUAGUUAUGAUUUUUAAUUACUAGUAAUAAGUAAUAACAACCCUAGGAAAGAAAAAACAAUUACCUUUUAUUGUGGCGGAGAGAGAGUUCAAUAGUUAAAUGGUAGACACAGAGAAUACAUCUGUCAGAGGCUGACUCAUUGUGAUUGAUGCC